AUUUACGGUUUCAUUUCUUAUUGAAUCAAAUUCGACGAACAAACAGCCUCUUACCUGCAUCUCAACACACACUAAUCACAAGUAGUAGUAGUAGUAGUUGUUCUAAAAGCAGAACUGAAGCAGAGCCUUGUAAUCUUAAUAAAAAUGAUAGUAAAAAACAUUGUAUACAUAUUAUAAGUUUUACUUUCGUCUUGUGAGUGAUUAAAUUCAACAAAAAAUUCGAACGUACAGUAACAUAAUCAAUACCCCUCAAAUAGUUUAAUUGUUGAAAGCAUCACAUCUGUGUCUGAUCUCACCACUUCUCCCAAUUUUAACACCAUGAUCACUUAGCUUCUGCAUUGCUGAAGCAAACGCCUUAAAGAAUGCAUUUUGAUCUCUAAUAUACUCUUCAACAUGAACUCUUGUCCUCGGAUCUGAAAACAGACCCCGGUCCGAAGACAACAGACCCAAACCCUUGGGUAAGUUCUGGUAAUACAUGUUGUCAAACUUAUUCGGAGUCAUGAUGUCGUUGAAAACGGACAAUGUUGGAUCUUUCUGGAAAUUAUUACAAGCAUUUCUCAAAGCUUGAGCAAAUCUGGGAUUGUAAGAAGGAUCAUAUUGGGAAGUUUUGUUGUAAUUGUAAAGAUUUGAGCUGAACUCUUUACAAUGGGAAAACCCAAUUGUGUGAGCACCGGAUAACGCUACCAUUUCCGGUACCGAAAACCCUCUUGACCCGAAAAUUUUAAUGAUUUGAUCCAUCGACAUUGUGGGUCGGGGCAGAUUUCCUUCAACCAACGAAGCUUUAGAAGUAAAAGAAUCUUUACGGCCCAAAUUAACUGGAUAAAACGGGCCUCCGACAUUCUCGCCGUCGCUGCCCGGAAUCUCGUUGUUCAAACCGGAGGCCCGU
This 886-nucleotide unclassified non-coding RNA is filed under the name Hevea brasiliensis (rubber tree). The record is from RNAcentral. Lineage: Eukaryota; Viridiplantae; Streptophyta; Magnoliopsida; Malpighiales; Euphorbiaceae.